UUCCUGGUUCAGGAUUAGAAACAGGGACUGAGGUUCAGCACAGUGUACUGGUUUUACUGGUUCAGGAUUAGAAACAGGGACUGAGAUCCAGCACAGUGUACUGGUUUUACUGGUUCAGGAUUAGAAACAGGGGCUGAGGUCCAGCACAGUGUACUGGUUUUACUGGUUCAGGAUUAGAAACAGGGGCUGAGGUUCAGCACAGUGUACUGGUUUUACUGGUUCAGGAUUAGAAACAGGGGCUGAGGUCCAGCACAGUGUACUGGUUUUACUGGUUCAGGAUUAGAAA
Molecule: long non-coding RNA, 286 nt
Organism: Astyanax mexicanus (Mexican tetra)
Lineage: Eukaryota; Metazoa; Chordata; Actinopteri; Characiformes; Acestrorhamphidae
Exons: 3
Source: RefSeq, a predicted model, not a curated record